RNAcentral lists this ribosomal RNA (463 nucleotides) under uncultured bacterium. Its description in RNAcentral is "SSU rRNA". It matches the Rfam family "Bacterial small subunit ribosomal RNA", at positions 26 to 518 of the family's 1533-position model. The record is from RNAcentral.
AGGAUUAACGCUGGCGGCGUGCCUAACACAUGCAAGUCGAACGAGGUAGCAAUACCUAGUGGCAGACGGGUGAGUAACGCGUGGUCAACCUACCGUUGAGUGGGGGAUAACUAGCCGAAAGGUUAGCUAAUACCGCAUACGUCUCCGAGGGGCAUCCCUUGGCGAUAAAAGGAGCAAUCCGCUCGAUGACGGGACCGCGUCCCAUUAGCUAGAUGGUGGGUAACGGCCUACCAUGGCACCGAUGGGUAGCUGGUUUGAGAGAGCGACCAGCCACACUGGGACUGAGAAACGGCCCAGACUCCUACGGGAGGCAGCAGUGAGGAAUUUUCCGCAAUGGGCGCAAGCCUGACGGAGCGACGCCGCGUGUGGGAAGAAGGCCUUCGGGUCGUAAACCACUGUCGAAGGGGACGAUAAUGACGGUACCCUUGGAGGAAGCCCCGGCUAACUACGUGCCAGCAGCCGC